UGGGGAAUUUUGGACAAUGGGCGAAAGCCUGAUCCAGCAAUGCCGCGUGUGUGAAGAAGGCCUUCGGGUUGUAAAGCACUUUUGUCCGGAAAGAAAUCCUUGGCUCUAAUACAGUCGGGGGAUGACGGUACCGGAAGAAUAAGCACCGGCUAACUACGUGCCAGCAGCCGCGGUAAUACGUAGGGUGCAAGCGUUAAUCGGAAUUACUGGGCGUAAAGCGUGCGCAGGCGGUUUGCUAAGACCGAUGUGAAAUCCCCGGGCUCAACCUGGGAACUGCAUUGGUGACUGGCAGGCUAGAGUAUGGCAGAGGGGGGUAGAAUUCCACGUGUAGCAGUGAAAUGCGUAGAGAUGUGGAGGAAUACCGAUGGCGAAGGCAGCCCCCUGGGCCAAUACUGACGCUCAUGCACGAAAGCGUGGGGAGCAAACAGGAUUAGAUACCCUGGUAGUCCACGCCCUAAAACGAUGUCAACUAGUUGUUGGGGAUUCAUUUCCUUAGUAACGUAGCUAACGCGUGAAGUUGACCGCCUGUGG
This 531-nucleotide ribosomal RNA is filed under the name uncultured bacterium. RNAcentral describes it as "partial 16S ribosomal RNA". It matches the Rfam family "Bacterial small subunit ribosomal RNA", at positions 355 to 878 of the family's 1533-position model. The record is from RNAcentral.